UCCGGACCUGUUGACAAGCAUAAAAUCGCCCAUCCCAUAGAUUUCAAAGUGCUCUAAACUUUAUCAUUCAUCUUUCUAAAAUGGUCAGUUGGUGAUCCAAUAGUAUACCAUCUUUAUUUUUUUUCUUUUUCUUUUAUUUUUCUUCAAUUUUGUAAUCAUCUGAAUAUUUCUCCUUAUUAAUUAUCCUUCGAUCUUAUUCAAUUUUAUUUUUUAUCAUGGUGUUCUUUGAAAUUGUUUGCUUGAGAUGCUGAUAUAAUGUUUUCUUAAUGCUAGUCUUUUUUUGGAUUAUACAUACUCUUCGCAAGAUUGAGAAUAUUUUAUUUUCUUAUUUCAUUAGCUGUAUCGCGAAUUACUUGAACUGUUGGGC
This 367-nucleotide long non-coding RNA is filed under the name Elaeis guineensis (African oil palm). RNAcentral's name for it is "long non-coding RNA (EGUI_LNC022534)". The record is from RNAcentral. Lineage: Eukaryota; Viridiplantae; Streptophyta; Magnoliopsida; Arecales; Arecaceae.